GGUUGGAUCAUUAAAAAGAUAAAGGCUAGGAGGCUUUUCUAAGCAUCCGGCAUGCGUAAGCAUGUUUUGGCCUAACAGUCUGAAAAGACCUUUUGUGAACUGUCUUGUCUCUGGCGGCUGGAAGUUUUUUCUUCUGUCAGCUUGGGGGGGAUAAGUAUAUCUCUCUCAAGCCGUGGACAAACCGCCAAACAUGUACAUAACUCAAUAUGUAAUUUUAUGUCUAACCUUUUUUUGUAUAAAAUAUACAAACAACUUUUGGCAACGGAUCUCUUGGCUCUCGCAACGAUGAAGAACGCAGCGAAAUGCGAUAAGUAGUGUGAAUUGCAGAAUUCAGUGAAUCAUCGAAUCUUUGAACGCACAUUGCGCUUCCUGGUAUUCCGGGGAGCAUGCCCGUUUCAGAAUCAUUGAAAAUCUCUUAUACGUAGUGCUUAGUAUACAUUGUAUGCUGGGUGCCACGUAUCAAGGAUGCUGGAUAUUUUUGAUAGCUGUAAUAUGCUACCAAUUGUCUGGAAAUGAUUGUAUGGGCUUUCAAAAGCAUUUGUUAGCAGCAAAAGUGCAACAGAAUUUUUCUAUUCGCUUUUGGUUGCUACGGAAUGCUAUUGGAAAGGGUUCAUACUCCAACUAAAUACCAGUAACUACCACUUUGGUGUUGGUUGCUGAUAACUUGGUCUGAAAUCGGGCAAGAAAACCCGCUGAACUUAAGCAUAUCAAUAAGCGGAGGAAAAGAAACUAACAAGGAUUCCCCUAGUAACGGCGAGUGAAGCGGGAAUAGCUCAAAUUUGAAAUCUCAUAGGGUAACCUGUGCGAAUUGUAGUUUAGAGAAGCGUUUUCGGGGGUGACUUGGGUAUAAGUCCUCUGGAACGGGGCAUCAUAGAGGGUGAGAAUCCCGUUUAUGAUCCAAUGUUCACUCCUAUGUGAUACGCUUUCCAAGAGUCAGGUAGUUUGGGAUUGCUGCCUAAAAUGGGUGGUAAAUACCAUCUAAAGCUAAAUAAUGGCGAGAGACCGAUAGCGAACAAGUACCGUGAGGGAAAGAUGAAAAGAACUUUGAAAAGAGAGUUAAACAGUACGUGAAAUUGCCAAAAGGGAAACGCUUGGAACCAGUAUUGGACGCAGGUAAUCAAUCAAACGCCUUGAAAGAGGUAGUUUGGUGCACUUGCCUGUGGACAGGUCAACAUCAGUUUGGUCUGGAGUAAAAAGCCAGAGGAAGGUAGCUUGGGCUUCGGUCUGAGUGUUAUAGCCUCUGGUCAUGCACUGGAUUAGACUGAGGUCUGCAGCAUUAUUUGGGUACCCGGUUGCCUCCUGAACUCUACUUUUAGACAGCUUGCUGACUAGAAGUAGGUCUAGGGAGCCCAGCUGGUUUAUCACACCAAUGCUUAGGAUGUUGACGAAAUGGUUCCAAAUGACCCGUCUUGAAACACGGACCAAGGAGUCUAACAUAUAUGCGAGUAUUUGGGUGGCAAACCCUUAUGCGUAAUGAAAGUGAAUUUUGGUGGGAUCUUCGGUGCACCAUCGACCGGUCUGGAUUUUUUUGAUAGAUCUGAGUAAGAGCAUAUCUGUUGGGACCCGAAAGAUGGUGAACUAUGCCUGAAUAGGGUGAAGCCAGAGGAAACUCUGGUGGAGGCUCGUAGCGAUUCUGACGUGCAAAUCGAUUGUCAAAUUUGGGUAUAGGGGCGAAAGACUAAUCGAACCAUCUAGUAGCUGGUUCCCUC
This 1709-nucleotide unclassified non-coding RNA is filed under the name uncultured fungus. RNAcentral describes it as "sequence contains 18S rRNA gene, ITS1, 5.8S rRNA gene, ITS2, 28S rRNA gene". The stretch from base 666 to 1709 matches the Rfam family "Eukaryotic large subunit ribosomal RNA", at positions 1 to 961 of the family's 3401-position model. Lineage: Eukaryota; Fungi. The record is from RNAcentral.